GCUAACACAUGCAAGUCGAGCGGAACGAGUUAUCUGAACCUUCGGGGGACGAUAACGGCGUCGAGCGGCGGACGGGUGAGUAAUGCCUAGGAAAUUGCCCUGAUGUGGGGGAUAACCAUUGGAAACGAUGGCUAAUACCGCAUGAUGCCUACGGGCCAAAGAGGGGGACCUUCGGGCCUCUCGCGUCAGGAUAUGCCUAGGUGGGAUUAGCUAGUUGGUGAGGUAAGGGCUCACCAAGGCGACGAUCCCUAGCUGGUCUGAGAGGAUGAUCAGCCACACUGGAACUGAGACACGGUCCAGACUCCUACGGGAGGCAGCAGUGGGGAAUAUUGCACAAUGGGCGCAAGCCUGAUGCAGCCAUGCCGCGUGUGUGAAGAAGGCCUUCGGGUUGUAAAGCACUUUCAGUCGUGAGGAAGGUAGUGUAGUUAAUAGCUGCAUUAUUUGACGUUAGCGACAGAAGAAGCACCGGCUAACUCCGUGCCAGCAGCCGCGGUAAUACGGAGGGUGCGAGCGUUAAUCGGAAUUACUGGGCGUAAAGCGCAUGCAGGUGGUUUGUUAAGUCAGAUGUGAAAGCCCGGGGCUCAACCUCGGAAUUGCAUUUGAAACUGGCAGACUAGAGUACUGUAGAGGGGGGUAGAAUUUCAGGUGUAGCGGUGAAAUGCGUAGAGAUCUGAAGGAAUACCGGUGGCGAAGGCGGCCCCCUGGACAGAUACUGACACUCAGAUGCGAAAGCGUGGGGAGCAAACAGGAUUAGAUACCCUGGUAGUCCACGCCGUAAACGAUGUCUACUUGGAGGUUGUGGCCUUGAGCCGUGGCUUUCGGAGCUAACGCGUUAAGUAGACCGCCUGGGGAGUACGGUCGCAAGAUUAAAACUCAAGAAAAUUUGACGGAAUG
This 894-nucleotide ribosomal RNA is filed under the name Vibrio parahaemolyticus. RNAcentral's name for it is "bacterial SSU rRNA". It matches the Rfam family "Bacterial small subunit ribosomal RNA", at positions 46 to 920 of the family's 1533-position model. The record is from RNAcentral. Lineage: Bacteria; Pseudomonadati; Pseudomonadota; Gammaproteobacteria; Vibrionales; Vibrionaceae.